RNAcentral lists this ribosomal RNA (245 nucleotides) under uncultured prokaryote. Its description in RNAcentral is "partial 16S ribosomal RNA". It matches the Rfam family "Bacterial small subunit ribosomal RNA", at positions 524 to 768 of the family's 1533-position model. The record is from RNAcentral.
UACGGAGGAUGCAAGCGUUAUCCGGAUUUAUUGGGUUUAAAGGGUGCGUAGGCGGAUAUGUAAGUCAGCGGUGAAACUCACAGGCUCAACCUGUGCCGUGCCGUUGAAACUGUGUAUCUGGAAUGCGGAUGCUGUGGGAGGAAUGUGUAGUGUAGCGGUGAAAUGCAUAGAUAUUACACAGAACACCGAUUGCGAAGGCAUCUCACAAAGCCGUUAUUGACGCUGAGGCACGAAAGUGUGGGGAU